ACUGACUGACCGAUAGUGAACCAGUACCGUGAGGGAAAGGCGAAAAGAACCCCGGCGAGGGGAGUGAAACAGAACCUGAAACCGUGUACGUACAAGCAGUGGGAGCACCUUCGUGGUGUGACUGCGUACCUUUUGUAUAAUGGGUCAGCGACUUAUAUUCUGUAGCAAGGUUAACCGUAUAGGGGAGCCGCAGGGAAACCGAGUCUUAACUGGGCGUUAAGUUGCAGGGUAUAGACCCGAAACCCGGUGAUCUAGCCA
Molecule: ribosomal RNA, 258 nt
Filed under: Mesorhizobium sp.
Lineage: Bacteria; Pseudomonadati; Pseudomonadota; Alphaproteobacteria; Hyphomicrobiales; Phyllobacteriaceae
Description: partial 23S ribosomal RNA
Rfam family: Bacterial large subunit ribosomal RNA
Source: RNAcentral